RNAcentral lists this ribosomal RNA (1236 nucleotides) under metagenome. Its description in RNAcentral is "bacterial LSU rRNA". It matches the Rfam family "Bacterial large subunit ribosomal RNA", at positions 1564 to 2808 of the family's 2925-position model. The record is from RNAcentral.
UGAAUACGAGAUGCUACGGCAUCGAAGCAGUCUAUGUCAUACUUCCAAGAAAAGCUUGCACUGUCAUAAACAAAUAAUGCCUGUACCAUAACCGACACAGGUGGGUAGGUAGAGUAUACUAAGGGGCGCGAGAUAACUCUCUCUAAGGAACUCGGCAAAAUGACUCCGUAACUUCGGGAGAAGGAGUGCCUUAUUUUAUAAGGUUGCAAUAACAAGAUCCAAGCAACUGUUUACCAAAAACACAGGUCUCCGCUAAGUCGUAAGACGAUGUAUUGGGGCUGACGCCUGCCCAGUGCCAGAAGGUUAAAGAAGUUGGUUAGCAUUAGCGAAGCUGAUAACUGAAGCCCUGGUGAACGGCGGCCGUAACGAUAACGGUCCUAAGGUAGCGAAAUUCCUUGUCGGGUAAGUUCCGACCCGCACGAAAGGCGUAAUGAUUUGGAUACUGUCUCGGAGAGGGGCUCGGUGAAAUAGACCUGUCUGUGAAGAUGUGGACUACCUGCACCAGGACAGAAAGACCCUAUGAAGCUUUACUGUAACUUGAGAUUGAAAUUGGACUUUAUUUGCGCAGUAUAGGUGGGAGACGUUGAAAAUAUUCUUGCGGGAAUAUUGGAGUCAUCAGUGAGAUACCACUCUUAUAAUGUUAGAUUUCUAACUUUGUAUCAUUAUCUGGUCAAAGAACAGUCUCAGGCGGGCAGUUUGACUGGGGCGGUCGCCUCCCAAACGGUAACGGAGGCGCACAAAGGUUUCCUCUGAACGUGUAGAAAUCGUAUCUAGAGUGUAAAGGCAUAAGGAAGCUUGACUGUGAGACCUACAAGUCGAGCAGGGACGAAAGUCGGUCUUAGUGAUCUGACGGUGCUGAGUGGAAAGGCCGUCACUCAACGGAUAAAAGUUACUCUAAGGAUAACAGGCUGAUCUCCCCCAAGAGUUCACAUCGACGGGGAGGUUUGGCACCUCGAUGUCGGCUCAUCGCAUCCUGGGGCGGUAGUACGUCCCAAGGGUUGGGCUGUUCGCCCAUGAAAGCGGUACGCGAGCUGGGUUCAGAACGUCGUGAGACAGUUCGGUCCAUAUCCGGUGUAGGCGUUAGAAUAUUGAGAGGAGCCUUCUUUAGUACGAGAGGACUGAGAAGGACAUACCUCUGGUGUACCAGUUAUCGUGCCAACGGUAAACGCUGGGUAGCUAUGUAUGGAGAGGAUAACCGCUGAAAGCACCUAAGUGGGAAGCUCACCUCAAGAUAAG